CAGAGGUGGGUUCCCCAGGCACAAACGGGGCCCCGGAGCUUGAGCGACAGGGCCAGCCUGCCAGCUGGGAGGAGUCCACCCCGGUCAAUGGACAGAGCCCUGGACAGUGGCCCCAGAGCUCCGCCCAGCCACCCAGCCCUGCCUGCACCUCCACCCAGUGGCCAAAGACCAAAGUGACGAGUGGACCAGAGACCUCAGCUAUGGCUGGUCUGGAGGAGAUGGGUCAGCUGGGGGGCAGGAGCCCUGCAGAGGAUCCCAGCUUGCCAGAGUGGGAGUUCCAAUCAGAGGAGCCUGAGGAGUCAGAACCAAGCAAAGGCCAAGACUCACUGACCAACCAGAAGCAGGCAGACUCGGUAGUUGGGUCACGGGUGUGGGCAUAUAGGGAGGUGAAGGGAAGGGAAAUCAGGUGGGAGGUGGGCUGAGGUCUUCUGAUGAGCUCUAGCGUCAUCCAGCCCAGGGUUGGCUCUGUCAUGGGGUCAUCUGCGUGCAUGGGACGGCCUCAAGAGGAGGGGCUCCAGAGGAGCUGGACAGCAGAGCCACCUUCUGGCUUGGGGACCUGAGCAGGUAAAUGAGCCCAGGGUCAGAAGCCCACGGCUCUGCUUUUGACUUGCCAGGAUGCCCUGAAAAGUUACUCCCCUUUUCUGGGCAAAUGGCAGUUUGACCCCGAUGGUGUCUGAAGGCAAGGACCUUCUGGUUCUGGAGGGCUGGCCAGGUGGGGGGAAGGGGUAGGGAUUCCAAGAGCUGGAGCCAGAGAACCACUGAAGAGGGACGAGGAGGUGCUGCCGUCUGCUGAGCCUGGAUGGUCUCCAGGGUCCGGGGCGGGAGAGAUAUGUGCAGGGGGUGGGACCCAGUGAGGCUGCUGGGAGGCCUGGCUGCAGCUGGAGCGCAGGGCUGCGCCCCGCCCCUCCCCGCAACCUGCCAAACAGACUGUUCUCAUCACCCUCGGCCUCCAGAGAGGUGAGGUCAGAGCUGACAGCCUGGGGCAGCGGGAGGCAGGGAGAAGGAGAUGGGCUGCUCGGGGCUGUGCUUUCCUCAUCCUGCUCUCGUUCUGCUGUUUCCCUGCUG
This 1065-nucleotide long non-coding RNA is filed under the name Ursus maritimus (polar bear). Its description in RNAcentral is "lncRNA (ENSUMAG00000015202.1)". Lineage: Eukaryota; Metazoa; Chordata; Mammalia; Carnivora; Ursidae. The record is from RNAcentral.